GAUUUAAUAAUUUAAUUUAAAAUUUUAAAUUGCAAAUUUAAAUUUAUCUUUUAUAGAUUUAAAUCU
RNAcentral lists this transfer RNA (66 nucleotides) under Torymus sp. ZJUH_2016035. RNAcentral's name for it is "tRNA-Cys". The record is from RNAcentral. Lineage: Eukaryota; Metazoa; Arthropoda; Insecta; Hymenoptera; Torymidae.